RNAcentral lists this ribosomal RNA (444 nucleotides) under Klebsiella pneumoniae subsp. pneumoniae. RNAcentral's name for it is "bacterial SSU rRNA". It matches the Rfam family "Bacterial small subunit ribosomal RNA", at positions 338 to 796 of the family's 1533-position model. Lineage: Bacteria; Pseudomonadati; Pseudomonadota; Gammaproteobacteria; Enterobacterales; Enterobacteriaceae. The record is from RNAcentral.
CCUAUGGGAGGCAGCAGUGGGGAAUAUUGGACAAUGGAGGAAACUCUGAUCCAGCAAUUCUGUGUGUGUGAAGAAGGUUUUAGGACUGUAAAACACUUUUAGUAGGGAAGAAAAAAAUGACGGUACCUACAGAAGAAGCAACGGCUAAAUACGUGCCAGCAGCCGCGGUAAUACGUAUGUUGCGAGCGUUAUCCGGAAUUAUUGGGCUUAAAGGGCAUCUAGGCGGUAAGACAAGUUGAAGGUGAAAACCUGUGGCUCAACCAUAGGCUUGCCUACAAAACUGUUGAACUAGAGUACUGGAAAGGUGGGUGGAACUACACGAGUAGAGGUGAAAUUCGUAGAUAUGUGUAGGAAUGCCGAUGAUGAAGAUAACUCACUGGACAGAAACUGACGCUGAAGUGCGAAAGCUAGGGGAGCAAACAGGAUUAGAUACCCCAGUAGUCC